UAUACCAUAUGACUACUGGUCGAAGGCCUGGCCACCUCAUCAAAGAUUCUGUAGUAAUAAAAAACAAACUCUCACUUUGUUAUUGUUAAACAUUGUUAUUGUUAAACAUGGCAUACAUAUGAAAUACAUACUGCUAUGCAUGGGGCCUUGGAUGCCAAUAACUUGUAUUUCCUGUUUUUCUGAAGAUGUACAGUUAAUACUGUGCCUGGAUUUUUCCUUUCUUCAUUUCUGCUGAUUAUAAAUGUCUGAAAAUCAAUAGAGAAUAAUAGUAGAGCAGGCAGGAAAGAAAUAAAGAAACAUAGAUCACUGAUGUUAAUUAAAAUUUUAUCAGAGUUGUUUUGUUGAUAAGACAUAUUUUUUAGAUCUACUGUUUUGACACUGUUGGAUAUUUUAUUAUUCCUAGCGGUUUUAUCAUUAUAUUUACAAAGUUGUCUUUAAUAAUAUUAAUAAUAAUAAACCAACAAGGCAAUUUGCAAAUGGUUAAAUAAGUAUUUUCCUUUUACUUUGAAAGUAAAGCAAAGCUGCACUGCAAGACCCAAGCAUUUAAACAACCACCACCCAACUUUCUGGCUUCAUUAGUCUCCAUAAACAAUGUCAUUGUACAGCAACCAAAUAGCUGUGAAAGAUAACUAAGACAUUUGACUUCUAGACAAGUUGAAAAUACAGUAGUAGCUGCUAACCCGUCACAGUACACACAUAGCAGUGGCCACUCAAAUCUAAUCAUUUUGCAAGAAAUAUUUAGCAUUGUUUUGCUCACACAAAAAUGUGACCAUAGGACAAUUACAUCCAGAAACAUGGGAAGCUAAAAUGUCUGUAUAUACUGUGAAUAUGCUAAGCACACCAGCUGAAGACUGAAUACCUUUGUGUUUUCCCCCUUUCUGCGCACGGAUAUUUCCUGCAUUACCACGGCCUAUUUAAGAGCCAGUAAAUUUUUGUUAUGUCUAGUAAUGCUUCUUGGAUGACUUUUUGGCUCUCAUUUAUUUUCUAUAUCUUUGGCAUAGAUCAUGCUUGAUAUUUUGGAUGUGAGCGGAACCCGGAAAGUCAUUAAGUUAUAGAGCAAAAUAAAUAACGUAAGAGCCAGUGUGUGGUGUGAUCUCCCAGCCCCUCCACCCCCAUCCCAGCUUGGCCUUGGAUGGAGGUCAGCGGUGGGUCAAUGGGCAAGGCCUCUCAACCUGCUCAGAGCAUGAGAAGGAAAAGGGAGAGGCAGCAUGUGAGAGAAUGUGCGCAUGAAGACAGAGCCACAUGGACUCGAUCCUACAGACUGGGGAUUUCAUUGGCUUUGUUAUGUAAUAGCAAGCCACUGAGUAAUAAACAGCAUAUUCACUCCAGAAAAAAUGCAGAUACAGUGGAAGGUUAUACUGUGAAAGAAGUACCACAGGGUUAGACUUGUGACAAAACCCAAGAGAAAGGUGUUACUGAUCAGCUUUCCCGCCUCUCUCUCCUCUAAUCCUUCUCUUAUACAGUAGCUACAGGACAAAGGCUUUUGUUCAGAUUCCAGAGAGUUAUCAGGAAGGUUUGGAAAAGGCUGCUCCCAUGAGAAACUUAUUUGUCCUCUACUCCCAUGAGAAACCUACUUGCAGUAUAAUAAAAAGGUAAAGGGAUCCCUAACCAUUAGGUCCAGUCGUGACCAACUCUGGGGUUGCGGCGCUCAUCUCGCUUUAUUGGCCGAGAGAGCCAGCGUACAGCUUCCGGGUCAUGUGGCCAGCAUGACCAAGCCGCUUCUGGCGAACCAGAGGAGCACAUGGAAACGCUGUUUACCUUCUUGCCGGAGCGCUACCUAUUUAUCUACUUGCACUUUGACAUGCUUUCGAACUGCUAGGUUGGCAGGAGCAGGGACUGAGCAACGGGAGCUCACCCCGCUGCAGGGAUUCGAACCGCUGACCUUCUGAUUGGCAAGUCCUAGCCUCUGUGGUUUAACCCACAGCGCCACCCACGUCCCUGCAGUAUAAUAACCCCUGUAUUAAAACAUGGGUGACAAGGGAGCUGACUGUGUGAAACCAGUUGGUGAGCUUGGAUGCUUCAUUUUUGCUCUUGACGAACCAGUUCAGCCUGCCCCCUGCAGAAGAAUGGCGAAUGAAUGAAUGAAUGAUAAAAAACUGUACCUUGUAGUUGUUUGUGGCCCGGCAUUAAGCACCUCUGAAACCCCAGAUUUGUUGUACGCCCUGAUAGCUUUAGCACACUAUUCAAAACCCACAAUCUUCCUUUAUAAGAUCCUAUUGCGCAAUGGGAAAUUUGAUGUGAAUGGCCUAAAGGAAGACUGAAAGAGGGAACUGGACUACUCCAUACCCUUGAUCCACAGUUAUCUUUCCUCUGCUCUUUCCAAGCACAGUUUGCGCUUUAAAGCUCCGUGCCUGAGUGUGCUUUUGUUUGCUCCAGUUUUCCCUGUGAAAACCCGCUCUUUUGGGGACAUGUUGGACUCAUCAUUGUCUUUGUCAGAAAUGCCUUGCAUCCAAAGAUAUCUUCUGGUGCUGUGGUACUGUGGGGUGGCACUGGAAAAAAUAUGAUCUGGCCAUUCCUUAUACUAGCUCUGUUUCGCACCCAAGUAAUUGUCUGCAUGAACUAGGGCCUGGGAGAAUUCCUGGCAUUAUCAGAUGUUCAUUCUAUACUCAGUGAUAUUCCAACCCUGUGGACCUUAGCAGAGAGGCAACAUCAUUGGACUUUGCACACAUUGUUGGGUGGUCCAAAGGCUGGUGUUAAACCCUGAGAGGAGUUGUUCAUGGUAGUGGUUGUUCAUGUGGUGUCUUAGCCACUAUCCUACAGCAGAAUGUGCCACUCUGAAGAGGCCUAACACAGCCUGCACGAUGGCAGAACCAUUGUGGAUCCCUCCUCCCAAAUUCCACAGCAUGUUCUUCCCAACUAGAUGUUAACAUUACCCAUCAAGUGCAAGGAUUUCCCAUAUUCCUAAACUGGGACAAGUAAAGUCAAACAGCCAUUUUAAACUGUCUCGGAGAGAGGGCGGGGGGAGACCGACCUGUCAAACUGAAGAUAUGGCCAUGAGAUGAAAAACAUUAUUUUGCCUUUUUAAGAUAUUCGUUCUGUGGUGUUCCCACUUAUGCUCCAGUAGAGCAGCUGCCAAGGUACUGAUUAUUUCUUUUAUUAUAAAGUAAUACAAUACAAGAUGGUAGGGUUUUAUUAUUUGUUUUACCUUCCACAUUUAUUAUAUUAGAAGCCUGACACACUGUUCUCACUUGCUUCCUCUGCCAGGCUGAGGCUCCCUCUUCCUACUAAAAUAAAACCCCCAAAAGCCGCCCAGGGAGUUUCCUUCCAAAAAAUAACAAUCCUCUUAAAGAGAUAUCACAACGCACACCCCAGCCCUUCCUCUUUUUUAUUUUAUGUUAAAGAUUUAGUGGUGUGGUGCCCCCCAAAAAAUGUAUGACUUCAUGAGGAAAAGCCCAUUUGGAAGAGACAUUCAUCAUCUUCUCAACCAGAUUGAACUGUUCUAGGACUGAGCCCAAGCGACUCGCUCUUUCUCACAGGCAUUUCCAGCAAUGAUAAAAAUGUCUCCCUUUUCCAUGUCAUUCAUUGCUGCUUGAGAUGAUGUUGGCUUGUGCUCAGUUACUUUCAGUGUGUCAUCAUGCAGUCAAGUCUAAGGUAAGCCACAUCUGAACCAAACAUUUAAAGCACUGUUACGCUUGCUUUAUGCAUGAGGCUCCCCUCAAAUGAGCAGGAAAGUGUCCUUUGCUAUGUGUGCUGUGCAUUGUUAGGAGACUCCCCUGUUUCCCCCACAGAACUACAAUUCCCAGAGUUCCCUAGGAAGAGGGAUUGACUGCUAAAGCCCACGGAUUAUGGUGGUGGUAAUAUAUAAAAGGAAGGGCUGGAGGACUUGGAACGUUGGUACUUGUGUGGGCCACCUACCAGAGAAUCUGAGAUUCUCACAACAGUAGCAAGUUCAUCCAACAAACACCCCAAGGAGGCAGUAAAGUAUUAUUACCCCAUUUGCAAGUGCAUUGCCAAAAAUGACACAAUUCUGAAACAGAACUGGGAACAGAACCAAUCAAUCCUGAGGUCUAGUUCAAUGCUUCUCAUAACCACAACUCCCUCCUUUCCCAUGUUUGGUCUGGACACCUGUUCUUUGGACUAAGCCGGGCCACUUCAGGUUUGAAUUGCAUUUGAACCAACAUCUUAAGACGUGGAAAGCUACAUAUUCCAUUACCAGGACCUCCAGAGACAAAGUGCUAAUCAAUGUAAAUAUGAGCUGGUAAUUCCAGCUCAGUUUCUAAACCAGCAAAUGUCAAUAUGCUUUAAGUUAUUGGGAUUCAAUACAGUAAAGAGGGUGGGUUCUUUUUCCUUUCUUUUCUUUUUUCCAAGGGAACAUUAGAAAAUCAACUGCAAGGAUGUGAGCAAAGUUUAAAUGUCAGCUGAAAAAACAGCUGCUAGUAAAAAAAAGAAAGAAAGGAAAGAACACCAUUCUAUGAGCCAAAGGAAUUGGGUUGGGAGGAAGUUGAAAUGAGAGAUGUUUAGCUCUUUAAUGCUCCCGUGUGAGGAUAAAAGGGCGAGACAUAGGGAAUCUUCUUUGGCAUAAGGUCAUUCUGGAAGUUUCUGUUCUGCAAAAUCUGAUCUCUCCAUAUGGCUGAUUUGUGCAAGGAAAGUGGUCCAAGCAUAUGUGGCAGUGAUGUAACAAGCCUAAGAGCUCAUGCACCUGUGGCUGCUCACGGCCACAUUGAGCUCUCCAGAAGCUGCUCUGCGACUUGCCAGAGCAGUUUUCCAUCACAGAUGUGUAAAACAUUUUUGCAAAUAUGGGUUUCCUGACCCAUUCGAGCUAUUUUCCCCCUCUCCUUGUGUUUUCGUGAAUAUGGAGAUUAAAUUGCUUCUGAAAGAAAGCUUACCUUCUGUUUUAGAAUUUAUCAUUCACUUCUCUUUAAUAUUAUGCCACACGUCAGCUGUCAGCUAAAGAGAUUGUUAUCUGUCAGCUUUGGCUUUGGGGCAUUGAGUAAAAACAGUGAGCAAGACAACAAAGAGUUCAAUGGCACCUUAAAGACUAAUAAAUUUACCAAGGCAGAGCCUGCCUCACCAGACGGAUGAGGAAUCACUCGGACGCUCAAGGCCCAACUAACCCCUUCUUUAGCAAGCAAGUGCUCCUUCUUGCUUGUGCUACUACAAGCACCGGGACCCCUCUGCAACAAAGCAAUGCCCUUUAAUUCAGCAAAAUAUCACUUUCCACAUAACAGUUCUGAUCUUCAGAUAAUUGGUUUAUUAUGCUGUAAGCCAGGGGGAAGAAACAGAAGGCUUACAUGCUGUGCUGUGUGGCAACUUUCUCAUGCAGUGGCUGCUUCACUGCACUUGUUGUCAGGCAGCCCCACUGGGGAUAUAAGGGGGAAAGAGGAGGGGGGAUUUUCUGUGGAGGAAAGCCAUAUGUCGCUGGAGUGAGUCCUAUCUGAGACUCCGUAUAACUGCAAUGGAAAAGCCAGAGGUUGAGGGAUUUCUCUCUCUGACUGCAGCACAAGCCAAAAGAGAUUGGGGAGCAUGACCUCCCAGCAUGCUGCUUACUUGGAACAUUAAAGGAUGGGGGAAAUGUGGCGUGGGGAGACGGGGAGAAAGAAAAAGAGAGAGAAAGCAUGAAAUAUUCACAGAUAAGUGGUGGGAAUAAAUUGGCCACAAGACAAUCCUGAAUCGUGCUAACUUGGGUCAUUAAGGGCUCAUCCACACACCUGUUUGCUCCACCUCUUUUGUCCUGGAAAACCCAAGGUUUAGUGCUCAGCUGGAAUAAAUGGCAACCAGGUUUCCCACAGGUUUCCUGUUUGUUCUGAUUUAGCGCUAAAGAAUGGGUUUUCCAGGGGAAAGCAGCGGGGCAAAGGCAAAGCCGCUCUGACCUGUGCCUAGAAAAUACGGGGCAAGCGGAAAACCUCUCAGACUCCUGCCUUCUGGGCACGGGAUGAGUGGAAGUGUGAACAAGCCCUCUCUCUCGCUCUCUGUAGACCAUGGUACUAAGUGAGUGUUGUAAAUCCUGCUCCUUCUAAUCUCAGGUGAGAAUAAGCAUAAAUGAGACCAAUGGGGAGGACAGAAAGCCCCUUCACAAUGAUGCCUUGUGUAGGGGGAACCCACAUGGUGUCUUCCAGUUGUUUUGGACUACAACUCCCAUCAUUCGCUGCCAAAAUAGCCAGUGGUAGGGGAUAAGUGGAGUUGUAGUCCAAAACAUUUGUACAGCAUCAUGUUGGCUAGCCCCGGCCUGGUUCUUCUGUUUACUGCUAUGCUUAAUUCAUAUUCUACGCCCCACAGGGAAGACACCAAGAAUACAAAAGUAGCCGUCUUCUGCACAGAAGGUCAUUGUUCAAAUUGACCUUACUGCACAGGUCAGCCCAGUAGUACGGCAUGUCUCCAAAGAAGCACCACAUGUAAUAUUUACACAUGCAGUAAAUCCAAUAUAAAUGCUAUGCCCCACUCACUGCAUGCACCAUCAUGCACAAGUGUUUUUGGCAACCUCCAUAUGACAUGAUUAAAUUCUGAAACGGCAUCUAGUCUCCAGAUUUUUUUUUUAAAAAAGAUUGCAAUUUACCAGUAAUAAUGGCAUUGUGAAUUGCCCUGCCUUUUGACAAUUGCUCUGCCUUUAGAGAGAAUGUUUGCAUCUAAUACUUUUUCCAUUGUGUUAUUGUUUUUAUUUUUAUUUUAUAUAUUGUGAUCUUUUCUGUGAACUGCCCUGAGACCUCCAAGUAUAGGGUGGUAUAUAAAUUCUAAUAAUAAUAAUUAAUAAUAAUAAUUCAAAAGAGAAGUGGAGUCACAUGACUCCCAUAGUGCGCAGCUGCCCCUACAAACUCCUCACACUGAGCUCCAGGGCCAAUAGGAGACGGGAGUACAGGGGUUGUGGGGCGUCACCGUGGAACUGCAGACGCCAAUUAAUUUUUGGUUGUAAUGUCCCAGAUUUCAGUUUUUGCCAGUAGUCGUCACUCAACCCGAACAAUAAUUUGCUUGACUUCCGGGGUCAAACCCCAGCACACUGGUGCACUUUUUUCUGCCUCUUUCCCACUAUCAGAAGUAGAAUGGGGUAGAAUGGGGUGCACAAAAGCCAAAAUGCUCAUAAUGUGCAGCCUCCCCUCCCUCUAGGGGUCCUCAAUUAACCUCAAACACUGAGGGCUGAGUCACCUUUAAAAAAAACACCUUCAGGCAAGAGGAGCACAUCACUUUAGGCCGUGUAUGGUUUGGCCUAAGCAGUCCUUUUCUUAUAGAAAAAAAAUGUGUUGGUAUUCACCAUGAAGCUGCUACAGUAAACGCCUCACUUUUAAUCAGUGUUUUUAAUCUAGAAAUAAAGUGCUGCUACUGCAGACCCUUGAGUACCCCCAGGGGGGAAAAACCACCGGCCCUAAGACUCUCAGGUCAGGGGCUUGAAAAAAGGCAGCAUAUUUUCAAAGAGUAUGUAUUGCGAAAAAGACCAAAGACAAUUGAACAAGGGCUUAAGAUUCAUACAUUUUUUUAAAGUGAAACUUUUCUAUUUUGGAAUUCCACAACAUCAUUGGUGGUUACAUCAGAGUACUUUCUCAGGGAUGAAUCAGGCCCUCAACAUUGUGACUGUUAAGAGCAGACCCAUCUGCAUCAAAGGACAUUUUGUUAAUCAUUGAUCGCUCAUCUGCUCAGAUCCUGAUGUCAAAUGUAUUCAUCCUCAAAGUUCUCAGACAAAUGCUACCUCACAGAGGGACGCUGCCACAACAAUUUCAAGUCACCUGUAUAUAAACAACUCAUCCCACCUGUCCAUAUGUAUCUCCACGAGAGCUUUGUAGGGAAGCUUGAGGAAUUCAGUUUUUGUGGAUUCCAGCAUGAACUGCCCUGAUCCACAUCUACCAGACCAAUGUGCAGAUGGGGACUUCAUUAUCUACCAUCUUCCAUGCUUUCCAAAUGUUCCAACAAAGUUCUAAGUUAAGAGGUAGGCCAGAAUAUGUUUGAAAAUGCUUAUUUUAGGAAAAGAAAAUACGUUCAGAAAUGGGCAAUUUUUCAAAAAAUUACUUUGGAUCCAGACUACCCAUGGGCAGAAUUCCAUCUGUGAGGAGAGGCAAUUUUUGCUGAUGCCUUGAUCCCACUGCUGUCCCCUUUGCCUCACAAAAAGCUGUUCUGUAGCGGCAGUGGGGCCUCUUGAGCACCAUGGGGUCAGGAGAGGGAGAAGGAAUCAGCAAAAAUGGCGGCUUUCUUUUUGCCCUGUUGAAGCUUUAACUGAAUCUCAGUCCCUUUCAAGAACAGAAGGAGUCGUUUUGCUCUGGGAAGGGUAAAUCUGGCUCCAACCUAUAAUAUUUAAACAUUUCCAUCUCAUGUGGAUUUUGUGGGAAUGGGAUGGAUGAAUUUAUGAAGCAGUAGGGGACGUGAGUGGUGCUGUGGGUUAAACCACAGAGCCUAGGACUUGCUGAUCAGAAGGUCAGUGGUUCGAAUCCCCGUGAUGGGGUGAGCUCCUGUUGCUCGGUCCCUGCUCCUGCCAACCUAGCAGUUCGAAAGCACAUCAAAGUGCAAGUAGAUAAAUGGUGUUUCCAUGCGCUGCUCUGGUUCGCCAGAAGCAGCUUAGUCAUGCUGGCCACAUGAUCCGGAAGCUGUUCGCCGGGCCAAUAAAGCCAGAUGAGCGCCGCAACCCCAGAGUCAGCCACGACUGGACCUAAUGGUCAGGGGUCCCUUUACCUUUACCUUUAGUGGCGCAGGCUGGAAACAAGCCAGCUGGAUCCCUAUCUGGGUGUUAUCAUUAAGAGUACAGAAAACAUAUAGGGGGAGGGACGGUGGGAAUGAGUGUGCCAGCACAGGCCCUUCCCCAUUGCUGUUUACAACCUCUUUAAACUUGUGGGGAAGAAAAGCCAGAAGGGGGGGGGGAGAGACUCCUGUAAUCACGGAGGCUUCUUACAUAUUCCAGAAGACAGAAAAGCCUCAAUUGUAGCCUCAAUUGUUUCAUGAAACAUCCCACAAUGGGGACGUAGCUAGUACAGUGGUACCUCAGGUUACAGAUGCUUCAGGUUACAGACGCUUCAGGUUACAGACGCUUCAGGUUACAGAUGCUUCAGGUUACAGACUCCACUAACCCAGAAAUAGUACCUUGGGUUAAGAACUUUGCUUCAGGAUGAGAACAGAAAUCAUGUGGUGGCGGCAGCAGGAGGCCCCAUUAGCUACAGUGGUACCUCAGGUUAGGAACAGUUUCAGGUUAAGAACGGAUCUCCAGAAUGAAUUAAGUACUUAACCCGAGGUACCACUCUACACACAUCCCCCCGACAUGCUUUCUGUACACUUAAUGAUAGCACCAGAAUAGGCUUUUUGCUGAAAAGGGUGUGGAAGAUGGAACGCCAGACUCCAGGCUCUUCCAUCCAAAGGCACUGCCAGGCACAGGCACUUUUCCCUUCAAACUCUUCACUUGCCCCAGGAAACAAGGGCAGGGAGCUGAUAUUGGUACUUCCCCAGGGUCCAGUUUCUGGCAGCUAAUUCAUAAUAUAAAGUGAUUAAAAUGAGAGUUGGGUUUUGUUUUGUUUUUCAUUCUCAUUUCCAAGGAGAGCAAACCAUUACCAAAGUUUCUGGUUCAAACCUUCCAUUUCAUUGGAAAGACUCUCCAGACCUCUGCUAUGCAGUUUCUGUGAAAUGGGCAUUUUUAGAGUAGCAGAUGAUAAAUGGGCUGUGGACUUUGGUGCAUCAAGUCCAGCCAUUCCAGAGCAAGGAACAUCUUCCUGGAUGGCACCAUAUAUGGGCAAAUUGGUCAUUCCCUGCACCAUACCUUGCAUGACUGUGUGCUGAAUACACACCAGUCUUGACUGCGUUGUGUGAGGGUGAACCCAGAGUCUGGAAGGUCAGCACAUCGGCAGUUCACUGGCAUUUGACAUUGUUUGUGACAACGCCAGCAAGGAAUCAUAAGUGGAUGCUAUCAAGGCUUGCUAUUUGUGUAUUAAUGAGUCACAUUGUGCCAAAUUCACAACAGCCAGAUGUCCCAACUGACCCAGACAAGGCACUCAGACAGAUCCCACGCGUUUCAUGUGUCAGUUAUACCCAUUCAUAAAAACAGCUCCCUCCUCACAUCUAAUUCCUUGGGAAGGCUUAAGAUCAUUGUGCAAUUUUCAGUAUUCUUUCCAUUGAUUUCCUCAUCAAUUUGUGUCUUUCUUACUUUGUUACGUCCAUAAAAAUCAUCUUGUGGUUAAUAAAAAGGGUGGGACAGGAAGCAUUGUCCAUCAGAGAAAAGAAUUCAAAAAAAGGACACGGAGUCCGUCCUGGAAAAAUAACAUUAUUCUGUGCUCUUAUAAGUGUUACAGCUAUAGAAACAAUCUUGUGGACCAAGUCAGACAGAUGUUUUUCCUUUUUUUCCCCUCCCCCUUCCUCUCCCUUUGAAUAGAGUUUCUCAACAGCACAGCUGAAAAACCUUUGGAAAAAACACACAGGCGGG
This is a non-coding RNA of Podarcis lilfordi (Lilford's wall lizard), 10321 nucleotides long. The record is from the annotation of a GenBank genome assembly. Lineage: Eukaryota; Metazoa; Chordata; Lepidosauria; Squamata; Lacertidae.